GUUGGCAUGGGAAGAAUCAUCUCAUACCACAUUCUAUUUGUGAAGUGCAACCUUGCUAGUCCUAACUUGCUUGUGUGGAGUUUGCUUUCUAUGUUUCAAUAUUCAAUUCUAGCAAGAUACAAUAAAGAGAAUGAAGAUGAAGAAUACCAACAAAUGAGUAAGAGAAAGCACUCCAUGAGUCAUACAAGGCAGCAAGAGGUGUAAGAAGGCUCAUCUUCUUUGCAUGAAAGAAGAUAUCCAACACGUGAGAGAAGACCACAAGGUGAAUGGUGAAAGCACCACAUCUUUCUACAACAAUUGGAUGUAAGUGGUUGCUUAGAACCAAGAGAGAUCCAAGCCAUUGAAGGUCAACAAUGGGCUAUAUAUUCUUUGUUUGAGUGGGAGCCAUAUCUUCGAAUAGCAAGAGACAACCAAAUAUUGCAAGGUCCACAAUAGGGGCAGAGUAUUUGGCAGCAAGUCAUAAAGCAAUGGAGGCAAUUUGGUUGAGGUUUUUAUUGGAAGAUAUUGGACUUGUGCAAUUCGAAGCUACUCCAUUGAGGUGUGACAAUCAAGGAUGUCUUGCUUUUGGAAAGAAUCCAAAACAUCAUGCAAGAACUAAGUACAUUGAUAUUCAGCAUCAUUUCAUAAGAGAGAAGAUAGAGAUGGAGGUUAUUGAUAUGAUGUAUUGUGAAACCAAAGACAUGUUUGCUGAUUUGUUGACAAAAGCCUUAGUUAGAGAAGGACACAACAAGUUGAGUAAGGCAUUAGGAUUGAUAGCUAAUUGACCAAUAGUAAAGUGGGAGUGUUGAAAAAAGAACUCUUUAAGUAGUUGCUAAUGGUCAAUAGAGUACAAGUGUUGUUAAGGACAUCCCAUAAGGUAGGGUGCUGGUCUAUAGUGCAUUAGAGUACAAGGGGAGGGCUGGUCCUAGGAGAUAUCCCAUAUGGAUUGUAGCACUUGGUACCUUGGUACAAGUAUAUAAGGAAAGGGUUGGCAUGGGAAGAAUUAUCUCUUACCACACUCUAUUUGUUAUAGUGCAACUUUGCUGGUCCUAACUUACUUGUGUGGAGUAUGCUUUCUAUGUUUCAAUAUUUAUAUCGAUGAAUUACAAGUUUACUCAAAAGGAGGUUCUUCUUCAUCUUUGGCACAUGCAACACAUCCUUGAGAGUGAUUCUCUUGCUUAUGCCCUUCACCACCACCUCCACUACAAUGGUGCCUAUUCCAAUGGCUUGUACCAUAAAAUUAUCACCUAACCAAACGUUGGUUGCUUGAAUUGGUUGACAAGUGUUAAAUGAACACUUGUAUGGAGUCAUGUGUUUGGUACAUCCGGAAUCCACAAUCCAUUUGCUCAUACCAAACAUGGAAGGAGUUUGUUUUGCCAUAAAUGCAAAGUCUUCACCUCCAUGGUCAUGAAAAGCAUUGUUGGCAUUCUCUCUUUCUCCUCUCUUUGCCUUGAAACAAUUUCUAGCAAAGUGGCCUGAUUUUCCACAAACGUAACAAGUUUUAGAUGGAUUAUGUUGAGAAGGGACACUUGCCUUACUUGGUCUUGUAAAUAGUGCUGAUUGCUCCCCAAUAGACUCCUUUUGCUUUCUUUUGGUCACUUCAUGAGCUAGUCUUGCCGUUACAUAGUCCAAAGUAAGGUCUUUCCUUGAAAUGGACUCCAAUGCCACAAUGAGGGAGGAAUAGGAGUCUGGAAGGCUUGAGAGCAAUGUCAUCACAACAUCUUCUUCAUGUAAAGGCUUGUCAAUAACAGCAAGUUGGUUUGCAAGUGCCUUUAACUUAUUUACAUAAGCCAUGAGAUCUUCACCUUCUUCCAUCUUCAUGGUGAAGAACUUUUGCGUUGACCAUAGCACAUUGGAAAGAUUCCUACUCUCAUAGACAUUGCAAAGAGUCUUCCAUGCAUCUGCUGCUCCUUUGCAAGAAAUGACAUGAGCAAAGUUGGUUUCAUCUAAGUUGGUGGCAAUUAUGCCAAAAGCCUUCUUUUUUCGUCUUUUGAAGUCCUUUUGCUCCUUCAUGCUUGCCUCUAAUCCAGGUGCCUCUUCCUCCUCACAUACUAUCUCCCAAAGAUCCAAUGAUGCCAAAAGUAGUUCCAUUUUGGCCUUCCAGUGGUGUAAGUUGUCACCUCUAAACUUUUCUACCAUUCUUAAGCUAUCACUCUCAAAAGAUGCCAUCUCAAGCUACAAGUAGGUCCAAAAAUCUCUUGAUUUGGAGUUGUAAUGCAUAAGAUAUGACUACUCAAAGUUUGCUGAACUACAAACUCAGAAUUUGUUAUAGUGCAACCUUGCUGGUCCUAACUUACUUGUGUGGAGUAUGUUUUCUAUGUUUCAAUAGCCCAUAGCAUCUCUUUUGGUUCUAAACACCCACUUACAUCCAAUUACUGAACGAUUUGGUGGAAGUGGAGUCAACUCCCAUGUUGCAUUGUCCAUAAGAGAUUUGUACUCUUCUUGCAUGGCACUCUCCCACUUCAUUGCAUCACCACACCUCAUUGCAUCACAUAAAGUCAAUGGAUCAUCAAGAAGAGCAACAUUGGCAUGGUCUUCACUUACUUGUGGAAAGAUGUGAUUCUUCCACCAUUCACCUUGUGGUCUUCUUUCACGUGUUGGAUAUCUUCUUUCAUGCAAAGAAGAUGAGCCUUCAUGCACCUCUUGCUGCCUUGUAUGGCUCAUGGAGUUCCUUCUCUCACUCCUUGGUUGGUAUUCUUCAUGUUCAUUCUCUUCAUUGUCUUUGUUGUAUCUUGCUGGAAUACAACUCUUCAUAGUGUUGGGUUCUUCUUCAUCUAUAUCUUCACUUUGAGAAUGUUCUUCUUCAUCUAUAUCUUCACUUUGAGAAUGUUCUUCUUCAUCUUCUUGUUUGUUUGUUGGAGUUGAAGAUGUGUCCACAAACACACCACUACUCCCACUUCGACACAUCUCCCACUUUUCACUACCACUCUUAUGCUCUAAGAACUCUACAUCACGACUUUUGAUGAUCUUUUUGGUAUCUAAACACAUGAGCCUAUAUAUCUUGGUGCCUUCGCAAUAAGCAAGGAAUAUACAUCUUGUGCCUUUUGCAUCAAGUUUGCCUCUCAUACUAUCUGGAACCUUGGCAUAAGCAAUGCAUCCAAAAAUCUUCAUGUGAGGUAUGCAAGGUUUCUUACCAGUCCAAGCUUCUUGGGGAGUCAAUCCUUCAAGUGCACUUGUGGGACACCUAUUUCUUGUAUACACUGCAUUUACCACAGCUUCCGCCCAUUACUCAUACCCAAGUUUUUGAGCAUGAAGCAUACUCCUAGCCAUCUCCACAAUGGUGCGAUUUACUCUUUCAGCAACUCCAUUUUGUUGUGGGGUGUAGGGAGUGGAGGUUUAUCUUGCAAUGCCUUCAUGUUUCAAUAAUUCAUUAAAGUGAUGAGAUAAAUACACACCUCCAUUGUCCGAUCUGAGCACCUUAAUCUUGUGCUCACAUUGCUUCUCCACAAGUACUUUCCACUCCUUAAACUUGGCAAAACACUCACUUUUGGCCUUGAUGAUGUAAAUCCAUACCUUCCUUGAGGAGUCAUCAAUAAAUGUGACAAAGUACCUUGCUCCACUCAUAGAUGGUGUCCUCAUAGGUCCACAAACAUCCGAAUGCACAAGCUCCAGUAAUUGGUUUGCUCUUGAUGCAACUCUGCUAGGAAAUGGUGUCCUAUGUUGUUUGCCUUGAAUUCAUCCCUCACAAGCAAAAUUCAUGGUAGAAUGGCCAAGGUCUAAGCCACUUACCAUAGAUUGAAGCUCCUUCAUGCUUUUGGCAUUCAAAUGCCCAAGUCUUUGAUGCCAAAUGCCCACCUUGUCUAUAUUUGAUGGAAAUUCAGCAAAUGCAGCAACCUCCACUCCAUUGAUCUUCUUGCAAUUGAUAAUAUAGAGAUUUCCAUCCCUAGUUCUCUUUGCUACUUCUUUGCCUUCCAUGGUUCUCACAAAACACCCAUUCAUAUCAAAUUGCAUUCUACAUCCAUGAGUUACAAGUUUACUCACCGAAAGGAGGUUCUUCUUCAUCUUUGGCACAUGCAACACUUCCUUGAGUGUGAUCCUCUGGCUUGUGCCCUUCACUACCACCUCUACUAUAAUAGUACCCAUUCCAAUGGCUUGUACCAUACCAUUAUUACCUAACCAAACCUUGGUGGCUGAAAUUGGUUGAUAAGUGUUAAAUGAACACUUGUAUGGAGUCAUGUGUUUGGUACAUCCAGAAUCCACAAUCCAUUUGCUCAUAUCAAGCAUGGAGGGAGUUUCUUUUGCCAUAAAUGCAAAGUCUUCACCUCCAUGGUCAUCAAAAGCAUUGUUGGCAUUCUCUCUUUCUCCUCUCUUAGCCUUGAAAUAAUUUCUAGCAAAGUGGCCUGAUUUUCCACAAACGUAACAAGUUUUAGAUGGAUUAUGUUGAGAAGGGACACUUGCCUUACUUGGUCUUGUAAAUAGUGCUGAUUGCUCCCCAAUAGACUCCUUUUGCUUUCUUUUGGUCACUUCAUGAGCUAGUCUUGCCGUUACAUAGUCCAAAGUAAGGUCUUUCCUUGAAAUGGACUCCAAUGCCACAAUGAGGGAGGAAUAGGAGUCUGGAAGGCUUGAGAGCAAUGUCAUCACAACAUCUUCUUCAUGUAAAGGCUUGUCAAUAACAGCAAGUUGGUUUGCAAGUGCCUUUACCUUAUUUACAUGAGCCAUGAGAUCUUCACCUUCUUCCAUCUUCAUGGUGAAGAACUUUUGCGUUGACCAUAGCACAUUGGAAAGAUUCCUACUCUCAUAGACAUUGCAAAGAGUCUUCCAUGCAUCUGCUGCUCCUUUGCAAGAAAUGACAUGAGCAAAGUUGGUUUCAUCUAAGUUGGUGGCAAUUAUGCCAAAAGCCUUCUUUUCUCGUCUUUUGAAGUCCUUUUGCUCCUUCAUGCUUGCCUCUAAUCCAGGUGUUUCUUUGUCACGGACACAAAAUACAGACUUGAAAUCUAACAAGAAGUUCAAGAAGAAGUGGCAGAACUAGAUUAAACAGAUGAGUACAAGAAGAACACCAGAAAGGUGAGCUAGACUUCCAAGAGAUGUGUUGUCGAGACUGAAGAACCCUUCAGCCUCGACUCCUAUAUAUACUACUGAAUAGGAAGCUUCUCGAGCUACUUCCGCUAACUAGGACGCUUCUCCAACAACUUCUACUAAUUAGGAAACUUCUCGAGCAACUUCUUAGAAUCUAUCACAAUAUUCUAGAACCUUCUAAGAAUAUUCUAGAACCUUCUAAAAAUAUUUUAGAACCUUCUAAGAGAAUCUUUAGGGAAUAUUCUAAGAAUCUUUUAGAACCUUCUGAAGGAAUCUUUAGAGAAUCUUUAGAGAAUAUUCUAGAAGAAUAUUCGAAGAAUCUUCUAAUGUAUGUCCAUGACAUCACCUCCUCUUCUAACUUCGAGGUCUCCGAGAAGCAAUGUUGUUAUCAGUCAAUACCAACGCAAGAAAAUGAAAAUCUAUCGCAUCACAUCCGCUAUGAAUUCCAAUUGUUGUUCGUGAGGCAAAUGAUUCAUCGGCCCUUGGAGCCAACGGUAGUGACCAACACCUUCAACCUCUGACCAAGCGUGGACUUCUGUGUCUUCAUUGUGAAACUGUCCUCCAAACACACCUUCUGGCUGACCGUCUUAGGCAGGCUCGACCUCAAAUACAAUUACUAGCGAUCUUUUGCUCGGUAUCCUCCGACGUCGUCGUGGUGCAGGCGGUUCUUCAUCUCGCGGUCGUCUUCGUGAGCUAUGCACUUGAGAUGACAUAACAAGUGUAGUAUCUUGACUAUCUAUGUCCAAAGGCUAAAAUGAUGAGAGCAAACUAUAGUUGCUAACAAAGUUCUACACUACCGAACUAUGGGUUUUGGAGGUGCCCUCCCUCCUUUUUAUGCAAAUGAUAGAAGGUCAACAACGGGCUAUGUGUUCUUUGUUAGAGUGGGAGCCAUAUCUUGGAAUUGUAAGAGACAACCAACCAUUGGAAGGUCCACAAUGGAGGCGGAGUACAUGGCAGCAAGUCAUGGAGCAAUGGAGGCAAUUUGGUUGAGGUUGUUAUUGGAAGAUAUUGGACUUGUGCAAUUGGAGGCCACUCCAUUGAGGUGUGACAAUCAAGGAUGUCUUGCUUUUGCAAAGAAUCCAAAGCAUCAUGCAAGAACCGAGCACAAUGAUAUUCAGCAUCAUUUCAUAAGAGAGAAGAUAGAGAUGGGGGUUAUUGAUAUGAUGUAUUGUGAAACCAAAGACAUGUUGGCUGAUUUAUUGACAAAAGCCUUGGUCAGAGAAAGACACAACAUGUUGAGUAAGGCAUUAGGAUUGAUAGGUAAUUGACCAAUAGCAAAGUGGGAGUGUUGAAAGAAAGUACUCUUCAAGUUCUUGCUAAUGGUCAAAUAGAAUAUAUGUAUUGUUAGGGAUAUCCCAUAUUGUUAGUUGCUGGUCCAUAGUGCCUUAGAGUACAAGGGUAGGGCUGGUCCUAGGUGAUAUCCCAUAUGGGUUGUAGCACUUGGUACUUUGAUACUAGAAUAUAAGCAAGAGGUUGGAAUGAGAAGAAUUAUCUCAUACCACACUUGAUUUGUGAAGUGCAACCUUGCUGGUCCUAACUUGCCUAUGUGGUGUUUAAUUUCUAUGUUUUAAUACAUUGGAGAGAUUCCUACUUUCAUAGACAUUGCAAAGAGUCUUCCAUGCAUCUGCUGCCCAUUUGCAAGAACUGACAUGAGCAAAGUUGCAUUCAUCUAAAUUGGUGGCAAUUAUGCCAAAAGCCUUCUUCUCUCGUCUUUUGAAGUCCUUUUGCUCCUUGAUGCUUGCCUCUACCCCAGGUGCAAGUUCCUCCUCAUCUACUAUCUCCCAAAGAUCCAAUGACACCAAAAGUAGCUCCAUUUUAGCCUUCCAGUGGUGAAAGUUGUCACCUAUAAACUUUUCUACUAUUCUUAAGCUAUCACCCUCAAAAGAUGCCAUCUCAAGCUACAAGUAGCUCUAAAAAACUCUUAAUUUGGAGUUGUAAUGCAAAAGAUAUGACUACUUAAAGAUUGCUGAACUACAAAUCCAGAAUUCGCUUUUUUGCAACUUUUUGCAUAUUUUGAGUCCAAAUUACGUCUAAAUGGUGGGGAAUGGUUUGUAAUGUGAUUUAAUGACUUUCAAACGUCUCUCUAACGUCACUUCACUCAAAAUCACUCACUUUCUGAUAAAACUCUCAAAUACUAGUGCUCCUUCAACAAAGACACUAUCAAGGUCUUGCACUAAGCUCAUACACUCACAAAUCCAGGAGCAAUGACUUCAAAAAUUCACCAGCAACACUCUACCAUAAGAUCUCAACCACCAAAAUCAAGCAACAAAGAAAUAAUGCAAGAACAACUUACUUGGUAAGAAAUAGUGGGCCCAUAACAUGUUGAAACAUAGAAAGCAUACUCCACACAAGUAAGUUAGGACCAACAAGGUUACACUAUAACAAAUAGAGUGUGGUAUGAGAUAAUUCUUCCCAUGUCAAUCCUUUCCUUAUAUACUAGUACCAAGGUACUAAGUGCUACAAUCCAUAUAGAAUAUCUCCUAGAACCAGCCCUCCCCUUGUACUCUAAUGCACUAUAGACCAGCACCCUACCUUAUGGGAUAUCCUUAACAACACUUGUACUCUAUUGACCAUUACCAACUACUUGAAGAGUUCUUUUCUUAACAGUUCCUUCCAUUGCACCAAGGCUUGCUGCCAUAUACUCCGCCUCCAUUGUAGACCUUGCAAUUGUAGGUUGUCUCUUGUAAUUCCAUGAAAUUUCUCCCACUCCCACAAAGAAUACAUAGCCUAUUGUUGACCUCCUAUCAUUUGCAUCUCCUGCCCAAUCUGCAGCACAAUAACCAUGCAAAGCAUUACUUUCACCUCCAAAGCACAAUUUGAAGUCCAAUGUACCUUUUAAGUACCUCAUGAUCCUCUUGAUGGUCGUCCAAUGGAUUGGCCCUGCUUUUGACAUGUGUUGACUCACAACACUCACUGCAUAAGCAAGAUCCACCCUUCUGCCAACCAUUGCAUACAUGAGUGACCCAACUGCUGCCUUGUAUGGAACACCUUGCAUUUGACCUUCAACUUGUGCAAACUCUUCAUCCGUGAGCUUCAUCAACUUCAAAAAGGUCUCCAAAGGUGUUCCAAUAGGCUUGCAAUCCUCCAUGUUGAAUCGUUUCAACACUCCUUCAAUGUACUUCCUUUGGCUCAUUGUGAUGGUCUUGUUAGCACGAUUUCUUGCAAAUUCCACUCCUAAGCAAUAGUGAAGCUCUUCCAAAUCACUCAUCUCAUAUUCCUUUUCUAACUUUUUCUUCAACCAAUCCAUCAUCUUUAGAGUAUUGGUUAAGAUGAUUAAUCAUCUACAUAAAGGAUAACAAUCAUCAAGAACUCUUUUGAUUGUAUCACAUACAUAGAAUGGUCAGCCUCACUUCUUUGGAAUCCCUCAUUAACAAAGAAUGUGUCAAUUCUUUGAUACCAUGCCCUUGGAGAUUGCUUGAAUCCAUUCAAGGAUUUCUUCAACUUACAAACAAGAUGUUAUUUAAAUAUAUAAAGCAAACUCGACACAAGCAAGUUAGGACCAGCAAGGUUGCACUUCACAAAUAAAAUGUGGUAUGAGAUGAUUCUUUCCAUGCCAACCCUAUUCUUAUAUACUAGUACUAAGGUACCAUGAGUUACAACCCAUAUGGGAUAUCUCUGAGGACCAGCCCUCUCCUUGUAUUCUAAGGCACUAUAGACCAGCAACUAACCUUGUAGGAUAUCCCUCAUUACUCAUAUACUUUAUUGACCAUUAGCAACAACUAAAUGAGUUCUUUCCUUCAACAUAUCAAAGACCAUCACAUUGAGUCAAAGCAAGUACAUUGAAGAAGUAUUGAAACGAUUCCACAUGCAAGAUUGUAAGCCCAUUGGAACUCCUUUGGAAGCCAACUUGAAGUUGAUGAAGCUAACGGAUGAGGAAUAUGCUGAAGUUGAGCAUCAAAUGCAAGGCAUACCAUACAAGGCAGCAGUGGGCUCACUCAUGUAUGCAAUGGUGAGUACAAGGAUGCAUCUUACAUUUGCAGUAAGUGUUGUAAGUCAACACAUGGCAAAACCAGGUCCUAUGCAUUGGGCAACCAUCAAAAGAAUCAUGAGGUACAUGAAAGGCUCUUUGAACCAUAAACUAUGUCUUGGAGGAAAUAAUAUUACAUUACAUGGAUAUUGUGAUGCGGAUUGGACUGGAGAUACAAAUGAUAGAAGAUCAACAACGGGCUAUGUAUUCUUUGUUGGAAUGGGAGCCAUAUCUUGGAAUUGUAAGAGACAACCAACCAUUGCAAGGUCCACAAUGGAGGCGGAGUAUAUCGCAGCAAGUCAUGGAGCAAUGGAGGCAAUUUGGCAACCUUGCUGGUCCUAACUUGCUUGUGUGGAGUUUGCUUUCUAUGUUUCAAUAGGUUAUGGGCCCACACUCUCUUACCAAGUAAGUUGUUCUUGCAUUAUUUCUUUGUUGCUUACUUUGGUGGUUGGGAUCUUAUGGUAGAGUGUUGCUAGUGUGUUUUUGAAGUCAUUGCUCCUGGAUUUGUGAGUAUAUGAGUUUUGUUCAAGACCUUGAUAGUGUCUUUGCUGAAGUAACACUAGUGUUUGAAAGUUUUAUGAGAUAGUGAGUCAUUUUGAGUGGAGUGACGUGAGGGAGACUUAUGAGAGCCAUAGAAUUACUUAACAAUUCUUUCUCCACCAUUUAGACGUGAUUCGGACUCAUAAUUUACAAAAAGUUGCAAAACAGCGAAUUCUGGGUUUGUGGUUCAGCGAUCUUUGAGUAGUGAUAUCUUCUCCAUUACAACUCCAAAUCAAGACUUUUUUUGGACCUACGUGUAGCUUGAGAUGGCAUCUUUUGAGGGUGAUAGCUUGAGAAUGGUUGAAAAGUUCAAAGGUGACAACUUUCACCACUGGAAGGCCAAAAUGGAGCUACUUUUGGCGUCAUUGGAUCUUUGGGAGAUUGUAUGUGAGGAGGAAGAGGCACCUGGGGUAGAGGCAAGCAUCAAGGAGCAUAAGGAGUUCAAAAGACGAGAAAAGAAGGCUUUUGGCAUAAUUGCCACCAAUUUAGAUGAGAGCAACUUUGCUCAUGUCAUUUCUUGCAAAGGGGCAGCAGAGGCAUGGAAGACUCUUUGCAACGUCUAUGAGAGUAGAAAUCUCUCCAAUGUACUAUGGUCAAGGCAAGAAUUCUUCACCGUGAAGAUGGAAGAAGGUGAAGAUCUCAUGGCUCAUGUGAAUAAGGUAAAAGCACUUGCAAACCAACUUGCUGUUGUUGACAAGCCUUUACUUGAAGAAGAUGUUGUGAUGACAUUGCUCUCAAGCCUUCCGGACUCCUAUUCCUCCCUCAUUGUGGCAUUGGAGUCAAUUUCAAGAAAAGAUCUUUGGACUAUGUCACGGCAAGACUAGCCCAUGAAGUGACCAAAAGAAAGCAAAAGGAGUCUAUUGGAGAGCAAUCAGCACUAUUCACGAGACCAAGUAAGGCAAGUACUUCCAUUCAACGUAAUCUUCCCAAAACUUGUUAUAUUUGUGGAAAACCAGGGCAUUUUGCUAGGAAUUAUUUCAAGGCAAAGAGAGGAGAAAGAGAGAAUGCCAAUAAUGCUUUUCAUGACCAUGGAGGUGAUGACUUUGCAUUCAUGGCAAAACAAACUUCUUCCAUGCUUGAUAUGAGCAAAUGGAUUGUGGAUUCUGGAUGUACCAAACACAUGACUCCAUACAAGUGUUCAUUUAACACUUAUCAACCAAUUCCAGCAACUAAGGUUUAGUUAGGUGAUAAUGGUAUGGUACAAGCCAUUGGAAUGGGCACCAUUGUAGUGGAAGUAGUGGUCAAGGGCAUAAGCAAGAGGAUCACACUCAAGGAUGUGUUGCAUGUGCCAAAGAUGAAGAAGAACCUCCUUUCGGUGAGUAAACUUGUAAGUCAUGGGUGCAAAAUGCAAUUCAAUAUGAAUGGAUGUUUUGUGAGAACCAUGGAAGGCAAAGAAGUAGCAAAAGGGAUUAGAGAUGGCAAUCUCUAUAUUAUCAAUUGCAAGCACAUCAAUGGAGUAGAGGUUGCUGCUUUUGCUGAAUUUCCAUCAAAUGAAGAUAAGGUGGGUAUUUGGCAUCAAAGAAUUGGACAUUUGAAUGCCAAAAGCAUGAAGGAGCUUCAAUCCAUGGUAAGUGGCUUAGACCUUGGCCAUUCUACUAUGAAUCUAUCUUGUGAAGGUUGCAUUCAAGGCAAACAACAUAGGACACCAUUUCCUAGUGGAAUUGCAACAAGAGCAAAUCAAUUGCUGGAGCUUGUGCAUUCGGAUAUUUGUGGACCCAUGAAAACAGCAUCUAUGAGUGGAGCAAGAUAUUUUGUCACAUUUAUUGAUGACUUUUCAAGGAAGGUAUGGAUUUAUAUCAUCAAGGCCAAAAGUGAGUGUUUUGCUAAGUUUAAGGAGUGGAAAGCACUUGUGGAGAAGCAAUGUGAGCAUAAGAUUAAGGUGCUGCGAUCGGACAAUGGAGGUGAGUAUUUGUCCAAAGACUUUGAUGAGUUAUUGAAGCAUGAAGGCAUUGCAAGACAAACCUCCACUCCCUAUACCCCACAACAAAAUGGAGUUGCUGAGAUGGCAAGGAGUAUGAUUCAUGCUCAAAAGCUUAGAUAUGAGUAUUGGGCGGAAGCUGUGGUAAAUGCCGUAUAUACAAGAAAUAGGUGUCCCACAAGUGCACUUGAAGGAAUGACUCCCGAAGAAGCUUGGACUGGUAAGAAACCUUGUUUAUCUCAUAUGAGGAUUUUUGGAUGCAUUGCAUAUGCUAAAGUUCCAAAUAAUAUGAGAGGCAAACUUGAUACAAAGGGUACAAGAUGUGCAUUCCUUGGAUAUUGUGAAGGCACCAAGGCAUAUAGGCUCAUGUGUUUAGAGACCAAAAAGAUCAUCAAAAGUCGUGAUGUAGAGUUCUUGGAGUAUAAGAGUGCAAGUGAAAAGUGGGAGAUGUGUCCAAGUGGGAGUAGUGGUGUGUUUGUGGACACAUCUUCAAUUUCAGCAAACAAAGAAGAAGAUGAAGAAGAGCAUUCUCAAAGUGAAGAUGGAAAUGAAGAUAUCAUUGAAGAAGAGCCCAACUCUAUAAAGACUUCAAUUCCAGCAAGAUACAACAAGGACAAUGAAGAGAAUGAAGAUGAAGAAUACCAACAAAUGAGUAAGAGAAAGCACUCCAUGAGUCAUACAAGGCAGCAAGAGGUGCAAGAAGGCUCAUCUUCUUUGCAUGAAAGAAGAUAUCCAAGACGUGAGAGAAGACUACAAGGUGAAUGGUGAAAGAACCACAUCUUUCCACAACAAUUGGAUGUAAGUGGGUGCUUAGAACCAAGAGAGAUGCAAACGAUUGAAGGUCA
This 12265-nucleotide long non-coding RNA is filed under the name Physcomitrium patens. Its description in RNAcentral is "long non-coding RNA (PPAT_LNC006225)". Lineage: Eukaryota; Viridiplantae; Streptophyta; Bryopsida; Funariales; Funariaceae. The record is from RNAcentral.